CUUUUCCUCUGCACAGGUUUUGAUAAAUCUCCCGCAGUGUGUUUCAGAACGGAUCUUUCAUCAGGACAUAAAGAUCCGAUGGGAGUUUGGCCAUGGAGCUUGGCUUAAAGGAGGGGUGAUCAGACAUUUCUAUACUGUGUCAGCUAGCAGAGGUAGAUGACAGAUCUUACAGGCCUAAAGAGCCCUUAGGAAGCCAUUACCAUGUGAUCAGUCACAUGUGGGGGAGGAGACAGACCCCAGGAUCUGCUGAGGAGAGUCUGCAGCUGGAAUAUGAAGUUUUAGUAUUGGAUUUGUUCACUCAGGCGCACGAAACACUGUGUAACCGGUUACCCCUCCUCCUCUGUACCUUCCCCGCCUGUUUACACCGAUAUGCAGCUCUAAGAAAAUAAAGACUUCCCUGCAUGGCUGGGUUCACACUGUGGCCAUAUUUUUGUGAGAUAUCCAAUACAUGCUGAAAAUUUUACACUGCGUUAACCCAACCUUAAAGGUUUUGCUGCGGCAAGGAGAGAAGACUGGGGACUCGGGAGAUGUCAAAGAGAACAGGAGGCCCAGUGCUGAUUCAGAAGCCACCCAGGAAGAGUUCUUAACCCAUUGACUCCCUGAGACAUUGCAAUGGAUUUCUCAGUCGAUACAAAAGCGUACACAAUCCCAACAACAGCAUGCACAAUCCCAGUCGCAUAAAAUGUAUAUUUCCACCAAGUUUAGUUAAAUAGAAUGGCAUACACCAUUAUAUUCAUGACUUUAAGGGAGAUUUAUCAAAACUUGUGCAGAGGAAAAGUGGAGCAGUUGUCCAUAGCU
Hyla sarda is the source of this 798-nucleotide long non-coding RNA. RefSeq lists it as uncharacterized. Lineage: Eukaryota; Metazoa; Chordata; Amphibia; Anura; Hylidae. The transcript has 5 exons. The record is from RefSeq and is a predicted model, not a curated record.